GUGCUCGCUUUGGCAGCACAUAGACUAAAAUCGGAACAAUACAGAGAAGAUUAGCAUGGCCCCUGCAAAGGAUAACACACAAAUUCACGAAGAGUUCCAUAUGUAU
Molecule: small nuclear RNA, 106 nt
Organism: Jaculus jaculus (lesser Egyptian jerboa)
Lineage: Eukaryota; Metazoa; Chordata; Mammalia; Rodentia; Dipodidae
Source: Ensembl